GGAAGGGAGCCGGAUACGGUUUGCCGGGCCGGCUUGCUAAGCCGUGCGGCCUCCGGGCCAUGAGGGUUCGAGUCCCUCGCCUCCCGC
RNAcentral lists this transfer RNA (87 nucleotides) under Planctomyces sp. SH-PL14. Its description in RNAcentral is "tRNA-Ser". It matches the Rfam family "tRNA". From Rfam's summary of the family: Transfer RNA (tRNA) molecules are approximately 80 nucleotides in length. Their secondary structure includes four short double-helical elements and three loops (D, anti-codon, and T loops). Further hydrogen bonds mediate the characteristic L-shaped molecular structure. tRNAs have two regions of fundamental functional importance: the anti-codon, which is responsible for specific mRNA codon recognition, and the 3' end, to which the tRNAs corresponding amino acid is attached (by aminoacyl-tRNA synthetases). tRNAs cope with the degeneracy of the genetic code in two manners: having more than one tRNA (with a specific anti-codon) for a particular amino acid; and 'wobble' base-pairing, i.e. permitting non-standard base-pairing at the 3rd anti-codon position. The record is from RNAcentral. Lineage: Bacteria; Pseudomonadati; Planctomycetota; Planctomycetia; Planctomycetales; Planctomycetaceae.